AACGCUGGCGGCGUGCCUAAUACAUGCAAGUCGAACGGUCUUUCUAUGGAAGCUUGCUUCCACUGAGAAGAUAGUGGCGAACGGGUGAGUAACACGUGGGUAACCUGCCAUAAGAGGGGGAUAACAUCCGGAAACGGGUGCUAAUACCGCAUAGUUUUCUUGAUCGCAUGAUUGAGAAAGGAAAGACGGCCUUUGUGCUGUCGCUUAUGGAUGGACCCGCGGCGUAUUAGUUAGUUGGUGAGGUAACGGCUCACCAAGACGAUGAUACGUAGCCGACCUGAGAGGGUGAUCGGCCACAUUGGGACUGAGACACGGCCCAAACUCCUACGGGAGGCAGCAGUAGGGAAUCUUCCGCAAUGGACGAAAGUCUGACGGAGCAACGCCGCGUGAGUGAAGAAAGGUUUUCGGAUCGUAAAACUCUGUUGUCAGAGAAGAACAAGUUGGAGAGUAACUGCUCCAGCCUUGACGGUAUCUGACCAGAAAGCCACGGCUAACUACGUGCCAGCCGCCGC
This 512-nucleotide ribosomal RNA is filed under the name uncultured bacterium. RNAcentral's name for it is "bacterial SSU rRNA". It matches the Rfam family "Bacterial small subunit ribosomal RNA", at positions 32 to 518 of the family's 1533-position model. The record is from RNAcentral.